Molecule: non-coding RNA, 671 nt
Organism: Parasteatoda tepidariorum (common house spider)
Lineage: Eukaryota; Metazoa; Arthropoda; Arachnida; Araneae; Theridiidae
Source: RefSeq, a predicted model, not a curated record
AUAGCUUUCAUUGCAUCAUAUUAUUCCAAAUACAACCCAGUUUUGCAUUGGUCGUGAUCGUUCGUGAAUAGUCGAAAUAAAAAAUUUUUCGAAUUCAUUUAUAGAAACGCAUCAAACUCAAAAGUUGAAAAGAUGUAGUGCUGCUCUUUAUUUCUUCCAUUUACGGUGCACCCCAUAUUGUUGAUAUUUUGUAUUUGACGUCGGAUGCAUGGAUCCUAAAGCGGAUACUCUAGACUCCAUGGUCGGAUGCUAAAUAGCGGAAGAAUUUGUUCAAACCAAUUUAUAUAUUAUUGUUUUUUCCAUUAUUAUUAAGUAAAAAUGGUUUAAACUUACGUUGCAUUUUGUUAUAAAUGCAAACUUCUUUAAAAUUGUUUUGUUUUUGUUUAUCAAUUUAUUAUGUAAAAAAAGUUUUCAACAAGUUUCAGUUUGCGAUAAUUUUGUGAACUAUGCAAAAUAAAUCAUAUUAAGAACUUUAAUUGAUUCUUUGACACAUGAUUACAUUUGAUAAUCAUUUCUUACAAAACAUUUUAUCAAUAUAAAAGAGACAUUUUGCAAUUACCAACGAACUCAAAUGGCCACUAGUCAAUAUGCAGAAGAAGUAGGUUGUUGGAAGCGGGAAAAUGUUUUGGGAACUGGAGGAUUUGGAUACGUGGUGCUAUGGCGAAAUAAGG